RNAcentral lists this transfer RNA (68 nucleotides) under Marmota monax (woodchuck). RNAcentral's name for it is "tRNA.Ala". The stretch from base 5 to 65 matches the Rfam family "tRNA", at positions 6 to 65 of the family's 71-position model. From Rfam's summary of the family: Transfer RNA (tRNA) molecules are approximately 80 nucleotides in length. Lineage: Eukaryota; Metazoa; Chordata; Mammalia; Rodentia; Sciuridae. The record is from RNAcentral.
GGAUUGUGGCUCAGUGGUAGAGUGCUUGCCUAGCACAUGAGAGGCCCUGGGUUCGAUCCUCAGCACCA